AAAACUUACCAGGUCAAGACAUGGGCGUGAUUGACAGGCUAAUGACUUUUCUCGAUUCCAUGGAUGGUGGUGCAUGGUCGCACUUAGUUGGUGCAGUGAUUUGUCAGGUUUAUUCCGGUAACGAACGAGACCUCGGCCUUGUAAAUAGCUAUGCUGCUUACAGGGACAUUGGCGGCUACGCCAAGGAAGCUCGAGGCAAUUGCAGAUCUGGAAUGCCCUUAGAUGUCCUGGGUCGCACGCGUGCUACAAUGACGCCACGAACGAGCUUGCGUGAUGAAAGUUACGCAUAAUCAGCAGUCGGCGUCUUAAGGGAUAGUCUCUUGUAACUGUGGGACUCCAACUAGGAAUGUCUCGUAAGCACAAGUCAACAUCUUGUGUUGAUUACGUCCCUGCUCUUUGUACACACCGCCCGUCGCUCCUACCGAUCGAGUGUUUAGGUGAAUUUGAUGGACGUAAGGAAGUCAAAUAAACCUGAGCACUAGAGAAGAGAAGUCGAUAUC
This 500-nucleotide ribosomal RNA is filed under the name uncultured Myrionecta. RNAcentral's name for it is "bacterial SSU rRNA". It matches the Rfam family "Eukaryotic small subunit ribosomal RNA", at positions 1210 to 1795 of the family's 1831-position model. The record is from RNAcentral. Lineage: Eukaryota; Ciliophora; Litostomatea; Cyclotrichida; Mesodiniidae.